RNAcentral lists this ribosomal RNA (634 nucleotides) under Venturia australiana. RNAcentral describes it as "partial large subunit ribosomal RNA". It matches the Rfam family "Eukaryotic large subunit ribosomal RNA", at positions 253 to 908 of the family's 3401-position model. Lineage: Eukaryota; Fungi; Ascomycota; Dothideomycetes; Venturiales; Venturiaceae. The record is from RNAcentral.
UCCUUCGACGAGUCGAGUUGUUUGGGAAUGCAGCUCUAAAUUGGUGGUAAAUUCCAUCUAAAGCUAAAUACCGGCCAGAGACCGAUAGCGCACAAGUAGAGUGAUCGAAAGAUGAAAAGCACUUUGAAAAGAGAGUUAAAAAGUACGUGAAAUUGUUGAAAGGGAAGCGCUUGCGGCCAGACUUGCCCGCGGUUGCUCAGCCCGCCUUUUGGCGGGUGCACUCUUCCGCGGUCAGGCCAGCAUCGGUUUGGGCGGUCGGAUAAAGGCGUUGGGAACGUGGCCUCCUCUCGGGGAGGUGUUAUAGCCCGGCGCGCAAUGCGACCAGCCCGGACCGAGGUUCGCGCUUUGCUAGGAUGCUGGCGUAAUGGCCGUAAGCGGCCCGUCUUGAAACACGGACCAAGGAGUCUAACAUCUAUGCGAGUGUUUGGGUGUCAAACCCGUGCGCGUAAUGAAAGUGAACGGAGGUGGGAACCGCAAGGUGCACCAUCGACCGAUCCUGAUGUCUUCGGAAGGAUUUGAGUAAGAGCAUAGCUGUUGGGACCCGAAAGAUGGUGAACUAUGCGUGAAUAGGGUGAAGCCAGAGGAAACUCUGGUGGAGGCUCGCAGCGGUUCUGACGUGCAAAUCGAUCGUCAA